This is a long non-coding RNA of Numida meleagris (helmeted guineafowl), 810 nucleotides long. RefSeq lists it as uncharacterized. The transcript has 5 exons. Lineage: Eukaryota; Metazoa; Chordata; Aves; Galliformes; Numididae. The record is from RefSeq and is a predicted model, not a curated record.
GAUAUGGUUCGUGAUCCAUCGUGAACCAUCAUUGGCUGAUGGUUGGACUUGGGGAUCAUAGUGGUCUUUUCCAAUCUUAAUGAUUCUGUGAUUCUAUGAUCCAGAUUUCCAUUGGGUAUGUGGACCCCUGUCAGUUCAGCCACAGCCUCAUAUAACAUCUGUCAUCUCGCUCGUCCCCAGUGACAGAGACAGCCCUACUGAGCACGUCCUGCUGAUCUGACUCGGCAAAAGCAAGACAUCAUCUUGAAAGCCUUGGGAGAACUGCCUGGUAAAUGACAGUGUUUUGGAAUCAGAUGGAAUACUUCGAUGGAGUUUGAGGUGGUUGUCCUGUAAAGCAUCUCAGGGAAGGAAGAAGACUUGUGGCUACCUGAGAGCAAAGGGACUGAACCAGCUUGAAGGAAGCCAAGACAAUCCAGAAGGGAAAGGCUACACCCUCCUUUGGCCACGCAUGUUAAGUGCAUUUGCCACUGGUGACUGGGGGCCCAUUCUGCGAGUGCUCGGCUCUUUCUCUGCCUGCCUGGAUGGAGAGGCAGGUUCCGUGCAGCUUUAUGGUGGAGAAGAAAGAGGAAAAUGUGCUUCACUAACUGGGUAAUUAUCCCCUUCUGACGCUGAAGAUAAUUCCCUUUGAGGCUGUUGUAUGUCAUGAGUUUGGGAAACAGGCAGCUAGAGCCAUUUAUGUCCCCUGUUUCUGCGAGACACAGAGUUGUAGGAGGUGGGCCAGAUGCAGAGGAGCAGCCUCGUGUUGCCCGCAGAGAUAUCUCUCCAUCACUUUAUUUCUGGAUCCGAAACGAAUUGUUGCAAAUUGGGCCC